AAUGCACAACUUCUCUCGAACUAUGUACACUUCACGAAACAUAUUCAUUCAUUGACCACAUAAAUGAAAAUACAAUAAAUACAAUAGUAGAAACACAUGGAAAUAGGCAAUUUAAUAUCAAAUAGCAAAUAUUGAAAAUCAAUUAAACCUAGGUCAAACUACUACCAUAAAUCCCAACGAAAUACUUAGCCCAUUUUAUACAUAUGAUGGAAAGGAGAAUGUUUAUAGCAAUACAUUACAAAUAU
Molecule: long non-coding RNA, 245 nt
Filed under: Olea europaea (common olive)
Lineage: Eukaryota; Viridiplantae; Streptophyta; Magnoliopsida; Lamiales; Oleaceae
Description: long non-coding RNA (OEUR_LNC006178)
Source: RNAcentral